AGCAGAGCAGGGUCGUGGCCAACCUCUGCUAACGAGCUCAUCCCACCCCAAAAAACAAGAACAGGGAGGCAUUUGCUUCUCAUUCCAGACAGUAAGAGUCACAUUUCUGAAUGAUUUACUCCUGGGGUUGAGGGCUCGAUGCAAAUGAGCACAAAGGAAGUUGUCAGCAGCAUCGUGCUCUGGCCAAUGGAAGGAAAGCUCCAUCUUAGCUGUGCCAUAGGCUGCACUAAAAAAAGGGACCAGAACGGCGCUCUCUCAGCAUCCUUUCACACAAGAGCUCCCAAAUCUGUGCCAGUGAGCACACCCAAGCCAAGCAGCUCCUCAAGGAUGGCAACCCUCAACAGCACCCACUGGAAUGAAACUACUACAUCCAUCUCCCAGUAUCUGGGCUUCCAAGUGCAAAAAAUUUACCCUUUCCAUGACAACUGGAACACUGCCUGCUUUGUCAUCCUGAUCAUAUUCAUCUUCACUGUAGUUUCUCUGGUGGUGCUGGCUUUCCUGUAUGAACUGCUGGACUGCUGCUGCUGUGUGAAAAACAAAACUGUGAAGGACCUGGAGAACGAGCCCAAUCCUGUCAGAGCAAUGCUGAACAGCUUCAGGAAGCGAGACACAGAGGUGGUGUAGGAAGCACUGAGCAACUGCACUUGGAGAACUUGGUUUGACAUUUGACACCUGGAAUGAAGCCUCCUGUAGCUUACAAACAAGCAAGUUGUGUGCUUUUUUCUUUUGGAUUUAAAUAUCCACAGUGGCAAUUUUAUCUCUGGAUGUGAGUUGGAAUAAUUGGCAAAGGUUUUCCAAGUGCUCAGCAGAAAGACAAUCUACUGCAGUGUUAUGGGAGGGAAAAAGAUUGUUGUUUUUAGAUGAACUGUUGCUGUUUAUAUUGAGUGACUAGCAUAGAAUUUUGUCUACCUGACCGAACAAAUGCUGCCUAACAUGCAUAAAACUGUUGCUUAACUGAAGAAAACAUUUAUAAAAUGUCCAACAGUCUGAUCACAUUCCAUGCAAGGACAGCAGUGUUGUCCCACUGAGUCAACCACACAGGGACAGGACAGACAGACAAGGGGCUGAGCAUGACUAAGCUCCAGAAGAUCUGAAUACAGUGAAAGACUUGCUAAUUGACACUCUCCAUUGGGGAGAUGGAGUCACAAAACACCCAGGGCAGGAUGAACUAGCACAGCUAGUCCAGUGAUUCACCUGGAGAAGCAAACUCCCUCCUGCAGUCACAAAUCCCCACAGACACACUUCUUCAAGCCCAAAAUCAAAAGCACAACUGACGGAAGCCACUGCCCUGAGCACAAGAUCAUUUAGGACUCACACUGAGAUGGAUGAUGG
This is an RNA transcript of Melozone crissalis (California towhee), 1332 nucleotides long. It is a transcript of the gene named small integral membrane protein 18, with no coding region annotated. The record is from RefSeq and is a predicted model, not a curated record. Lineage: Eukaryota; Metazoa; Chordata; Aves; Passeriformes; Passerellidae. The transcript is spliced from 3 exons.